CGCAUCUGUGCAUGCAGCAUAUCAAUAAGCGGAGGAAAAGAAACUAACAAGGAUUCCCCUAGUAACGGCGAGUGAAGCGGGAAGAGCUCAAAUUUGAAAUCUUAAAGGGUUUCCCUUUACGAAUUGUAGUUUAAAGAAGUGUUUUCUGGUGGUGAGGUUUUGGUAAAAGUUCUUUGGAAUAGGACAUCAUAGAGGGUGAGAAUCCCGUAUUUGACCUUUACUUUCAACUUUGUGAUACACUUUCAAAGAGUCGGAUUGUUUGGGAAUGCAGUCCAAAAUGGGUGGUAAACUUCAUCUAAAGCUAAAUAUUGGCGAGAGACCGAUAGCGAACAAGUACCGUGAGGGAAAGAUGAAAAGAACUUUGAAAAGAGAGUUAAACAGUACGUGAAAUUGUCAAAAGGGAAGCGUUUGACACCAGUGUUGUUUUUCUGAAAAUCAAUUAAAGAACUGUUUAUGCUAAGUUGUUUAGACUUUAUCAGCUAACUGUUUAGUUUUGAGCUUUUCUUUAAUGCACUUUUCAGUUAACAAGUCAACAUCAAUUUCUUUUGCUGUAAAAAAGCUUGAGGAAGGUGGCUUGAGAUUCGUCUUAAGUGUUUAUAGCCUCUUGCCUAUGCAGUCGGAGAGAUUGAGGUCUGCAGCGUAGAUCCUUCGGGGCUAAAUGCAUUUGUGCUAAGUUAUAGCAUUUUAUAGACAACUUGUUGACUAUGAUUUGUCUUGUAGCUUACUCGCUUAUGUUAUUUUACCUACGCUUAGGAUGUUGAACGCGCACAGAGUCUC
RNAcentral lists this ribosomal RNA (777 nucleotides) under uncultured Neocallimastigales. Its description in RNAcentral is "partial large subunit ribosomal RNA". It matches the Rfam family "Eukaryotic large subunit ribosomal RNA", at positions 26 to 611 of the family's 3401-position model. The record is from RNAcentral. Lineage: Eukaryota; Fungi; Neocallimastigomycota; Neocallimastigomycetes; Neocallimastigales.